Molecule: ribosomal RNA, 588 nt
Filed under: uncultured eukaryote
Lineage: Eukaryota
Description: bacterial SSU rRNA
Rfam family: Bacterial small subunit ribosomal RNA
Source: RNAcentral
UAGUACCCCGUAUGCUUUCGAGUGAAAUGGAUUUAUAUUUAUUCGCCUAGAGAGAAGCUCGCGGCUGAUUAGCUUGUUGGUAAGGUAAGAGCUUACCAAGGCGACGAUCAGUAUCUGGUUUGAGAGGACGAUCAGACACACUGGAACUGAGACACGGUCCAGACUCCUACGGGAGGCAGCAGUGGGGAAUUUUCCGCAAUGGGCGAAAGCCUGACGGAGCAAUACAGCGUGAGGGAAGACUGCCUAUGGGUUGUAAACCUCUUUUUUCAGGGAGGAAUAAAUGACGUGUACCUGAAGAAUAAGCAUCGGCUAACUCCGUGCCAGCAGCCGCGGUAAGACGGAGGAUGCAAGUGUUAUCCGGAAUCACUGGGCGUAAAGCGUCUGUAGGUGGUUUAAUAAGUCAACUGUUAAAUCUUGAGGCUCAACCUCAAAAUCGCAGUCGAAACUAUUAGACUAGAGUAUAGUAGAGGUAAAGGGAAUUUCCAGUGGAGCGGUGAAAUGCGUAGAUAUUGGAAAGAACACCGAUGGCGAAAGCACUUUACUGGGCUAUUACUAACACUCAGAGACGAAAGCUAGGGUAGCAAAUGG